Molecule: unclassified non-coding RNA, 200 nt
Filed under: Geosmithia sp.
Lineage: Eukaryota; Fungi; Ascomycota; Sordariomycetes; Hypocreales; Bionectriaceae
Description: partial internal transcribed spacer 2
Source: RNAcentral
UUAAGUUCAGCGGGUAUUCCUACCUGAUUCGAGGUCAACCACAUAGAAGUAGGGGGGUUUUACGGCGUGGCCGCGUCGCUAUCCAGCUGUGAGGCAUCGCUACUACACAGAGGAGGUCGCGGGCGCGGCCGCCACUACAUUUCGGGGCCGGCCGCCGCAGAGGGCGGGCGAUCCCCAACGCCAGAGCGCAGCACGGGGCG